AAGACCAAUCGAAGGCGAGGGUUAGGUUUUGGAUCCAUUCGAUGGUUAGUUUUGCGUCUUCUGGCCAGGAUAUCGGGAGUUGGAGUUCUGGUGGUGGUGAUGAGGAGGAAGAUGAUUGUGGUGGUGGUGGUGGUGGUGGUUCUGGGUUUUGAUCCGGUGUGAUGGUGCCGUUGAGGGUGGCGGUGGUGGAAUCUGGUGGUGGUGAUGGGGGUGGUGGUUCUGAAUCAGUGGAAAGAUCCAUUGUAAGAGUGACAAGACAAUAGUUGUAAAGUGUUGUAAGAGUAUAUAUACUAUUUGUCUCCUUUUUUUUUUUUUUAACUCUUCGACUUCAAAAAGCGUUGAAAGGGAACAAUCUAGUAAUUCGAAGUUUGAUCGUGAAAUAGAUAUAGUAUCGUUAAUAAUUAAUUGUUUAACUCAAUAAUUUAAUUUGGGUUCUUCCAAAUAUUUUGUCAUUUGUUGCAAUUCAUUAAUCAAUUCAGUUUAAUUAUUAUGUUUUUUUAAUAAAUAUUGGUUUUGAUUGGAGAUAGAUCGUUUCGUGCCACUUGACAAUUUUGUGCAAAGCUCGGCAAUGGCACCCCCAGCUAGCUCGGGCUCAGCUGCUACUUUCUUUGUACAAGUCCAGCCCAAUAGCCCUUUUUCCUACUUAAAAAAAAAAAAAAAAAAAGAAAAAGAAGACAGAAUGUGUUUUAUUUUAUUUUUUUAUAUUUUCUAUUCUACUAUAAAUUCUAAAAAUGAAUAAUUCAUAAAAUUACCAUUAAAAUUAGUUUAAUCAAUAUUAUUGGAAUUUAAAAUUGAUUAGUAUAAUCAAUUUUUAGAAUAAAUUAUUGAAGUGGCUUAAGUAUAAUAAUUCUCCCUAAUUGUAAACUAUUGUACCAUUAACCCAAAUCAAUACUCAAUACUCACAAAAAUACUCAAUACUCACAUAAAUCAAAAUCUAUAUAUACUUACUUAAUUGCUCAUGUAGUUUAUGGUAACAAAAUUUGAAUCACCAUUCAUAAUAGCUUAAUAGACAAAAUGACAUAAUAUUAAGUUACAACUUACAUUCACUUAAUACCUCAAAAAACUUACAAUCACUUCUACAAGUUUCAUGGUGGUUUUUUUGUGGUGGCCAGAGUUUAAACCCCGAACCUUGCAUAUUUUAUGCAUUGUUCAUACAAACUGAGAUAAGCUCACGUGGACAGUUUCAUGGUGGUUUAAACGAAAGAAUAAGGCUUCAAUUUCAAGUAUAUUUUGAGUCAUUGGUGGUUUAAUCCACUUUGGUGUCUUGGUUGCAUGCUUCGUUUGUGUAAAUUGUGUUAGUGGUUGCAUGGUUGUAUUUCGUUGUUGUUGGUCUUUUAUUAUUGUGUAUUAGCCAUGUUUUACCCUAUCAGUUACACAUCUUAUGCUAAAAUGGUUUAUCCUACCAUUUUCGUUUCUUACUUUUAAAAAAAUGCAUGGAGAUUACUAAAAGAAUUUUACUAUAAUAUAGCAACGAUCUCACCCCUAACAUUUAGACCGAUGAAUUACAUGCUUUUUGUUAAUGUAUUUAGCUUCCAAGAAGCAAUAAUCUCCCUUUGGUUAUUUUUGAAAUGGAUCCUAAUGAACCACUGCAUAUUGUUGUGUUUGGUUUUACAUGUACUAGGUGUUUUUGAGGUGAUAUCCCAUCCCAUCGUCAGUGCUUAGUCUUAUAAUCCUUCAAAGACGGUUGUAAAAUAAUCAUCAAUGUCACAUUAAUUAAUAAAAAAUUAUCACUUUCUAAUUUAUUAAUUUAAAAAGAAAAACUAGGCAAAGGAACUCUCCUUGAUAAAGCUUUCACAUUGGAAAACUUUUGUCAUGCAUGUUUAUCAUGAAUAGAAUCAUUGUGUAGGAGUAAAAGUUGUCUUAUUUGUUUAGUUGUAGUUUUUUCUAUAUCUUUUCCCCGUUAUAAAAAAUAGAAUGAAUCCAAUGAUAAACCAAUAGUGAAAUAAGUAUUAGACUAGAGAAAAUGUGUAGCUUGCAUUCUUGCAACUAGUUUAGCAUGUAAAGGGAAUGAUAAUUGUUGAAGAGAUCUAAUGUGAUACUUGAAAUUCAACUAAACAUCUAUCGGAAGUUUAAAUUCAAUUAGGUUGUAAACACAAAAUUUGUUAUCGAAAGUUACGUUUAGAUAGGUUGAACUAUUUCGAUGUUUGUAUAACAUUCAUAAAAAAAAGAAAAAAAAUCUCAAUUCAAACUUCGAGUUGGCCCGAUUGCACGACACUCACACCAUAAAACCCUAGUAUUCUUUUUGGAAUACAGAGGAAAGCAUCAAUGUUUUCGUGGGUCUCACACCCUUUAGUGAGAAAAAGCAAACCACUAAGUCAUUAAAGCCAAUUAAUAAGUCAAACUUUGCUAACUUUGCUAUAUUAAAAUCUUUUUUACAAUCACAUAUCAAAAUCCUACUCCCUCCACUAAGAAAAUAAACUAUCUAUCUGACUAAUUAACAUAAAUUAAAAAAAUAGUAUACUACCCAAAAAAAAAAAAGGUGUAUAAACAAAAGAGUGAUAAUAAUAUUUUACGAUAAUGCAUUUAUUAAAUAUUAAUGUAUAUCAUACUAUAAUUGUAAAAUGAAAGUUGUGCACGUAUUAUUAAUUACGAGGGUUGAACCCACAACCUCCUUAUACUCCCCCACCCCAACCACUUCAAUCACCUUAUAUCUCCCCAAAAUAGAUCAAUUGCAAUUGUGGAGCAAAUGAAUAGUAUGUGCUCUAACAACCCAAAAUGGGAAUUUCACUAAUUUGAAAAUGACCAUCAUAUUCUUGUUCCGCUGUAAUCACCUACUUUGAAAAAGAAAUAUUGGCAUUUUCUACAUUUUUACGGUUCCUCAUUGUCACAUAUGACCCUACCAAUGAUUCAACACCUUGAUGUAUAUGGUCCCCUCAACCUAUAUCUAUAUCUAUAUAGGCUAGGCUAUAUCUAUCUAUUUGAACAUUCACAACUUCUCUCAAGUCUAACUCCAAUCCCAAGUCAUACAUAUCAACAAUUCACACUCUUAAAAACCCCUUUGUCUUUGCAUCACAAGACCAAAAACCCUCAAAUUCCUACACACCUUUGCUUCCUUUUUCUAUUCACAUCACAACCAUCAUUUCCUCACCAAUUUCAUAUAACAAAAAAAUACCCUUAAAAAUUCCAAACUCAUAUUUUCUUAGAAAAUAAGGACCCUAAACAAAUCAUGGGUCAUAUGAGCUACAACAGAGUUAGCAAUGGAAGCAACAAAGGUUUUAGAUUAAAUCCAAGAAAAUUUUAUGUUCUGAGGCUACGCAAGAGGUUUAAUUUCUUUCUUAGGCUCUUUAAUAAUUUGAAAUUAUCAUAUGGUGAUGCUCUUCAAAUGUUGAAGAAAGUGUUUUGUAGAAAAAUUGGUUUCAAAAGAAACAAUAGUAGUAGGAGAAGUUUGGUUAGGGAUGAAGAAGUUAAGGGUCAUGAUGAUUAUUGGAAGAUGAGAUCAUCUUAUGGAAGGUCCAAUUCUUUUUAUGCUGAAGCCAUUGAAGAUUGCUUGGAGUUCAUCAAAAGAACAUCUAUUUCUUCUAAAGAUCAAAUUCAAGAUUCAUGAUAGAAAUUCAUGACUGCUUUUUUGUGUACAAUUACAUAAUACAUCAUUAUAUUACAUGUUUAUCUUCUCAUUCGAGGAAUUAGUCUCUAUUCUCUAAUUAGUUUGGUUGUGCACGAAAAUAUUCAACAUAUACCAAAAAUUAAUAUGCAGGUAUUAAUUUUACUCUAUUUUUUAUGCAUGCUUUUAUUUUAUUUUUCUUUCUAAUUUUUAGGAUUGAUAGCAAAAAUAUACUCAAUUUCAUGUGUAUAUUUCAUCAUGAGUUCUGGAUUGGUAAAAUGGGGUUAUUCUCUAUAAACAUGUGUGAGAAAUGUCCAAGAGGUUGAAUUUUUUUUAAGGGUCAAAGGUUGAAUAUGGAUAUAUAAAAUAUGUUAAUUUACAUAAAAUAUAUAUACAUAGUUCAUUUAAUUUGGAAAUUUUGGAUUGAUUAGCGCGUUGAUUUUUUUUUUUUGGAUUACCACCUAACACGACAUUAAUUUUUGACUAAACUAAAGAUAAAGUGGCUAAAGGCAAAAGCAAUGUUGACAUUUAGACUAGAAAAAGGGAAGACAGUCAUGUCCUUCAAUUUAAAAUUUAUUUCAUUGUUAUAGCUUAAUUAGUUUAGUAGCCAUGCUACUCAUUCCUAACAAUAUAAAAUUAACUGAUAAUAUAAUUCUUGAUUCUCAUAUCAUUGUUGAUGUUGAUGAGUCAUCUGAUAAUACUUAACUUCUCAGCCAAUACUAUCUUGUUGACUACACUAAAAUCAUCUUCAAUGGAGAGAAAAAAUAACUUAAAGUUGGUUUUAUAAAUGGUUCCUACAAUGUUAUGUUACCCUUAAACAAUUCAAACAUAUUUUAGUUCAAUGCUAAAAGUUCAUGCAACCUUCAAGGAUCCAGUGCUUUUUUUUAGGUGGUGUUCGAGGUUCGAACCCAAACAUUGCAUAUGUUAUGUGUUGUCACUUAUCCCUACCAACUGAGUUAAGUUAUAAUUCUAUGUUUUUAAAAACCUCUAAGAUACCUCCAUUAAAUUAAGAAGGAGAUAGUGCUGAUGAUGAUGAUGAAUCAAUAGGUAAUUUUUUUAACACAACGAUUCCCAUUGAGUUUGAUUGGGUAUAUUAAACCCUUAUCCAAUUUUUUUUUGUGGUGCCCGGGAUUUGCUCCGGACCUUACAUAUAUUAUGUAUUGUUAUUUGUUAUUACCGACUGAGUUAAGCUCACGAGAACAUAGUAUUUCUUAUCUAAUAGAUCAUUGUCAUGUCAUAUUUUAAUUUUAAUUUAUUUUAAAAUAAAUUUAAAUGUUAAAAAUAAAAAUUUGCUACAAAGUACCGGUACCUAACUAAACUCUAAAGUACCUAUACUAAACUCUAAAGUACCUAUGAAUUCACCUUUUUUAUUUAUUUAAUUUUUGGUGCAAAAUAAAAACCCAUUAUAGUGAAAUAUUUUAUCUUUUAAAGUACCCUUCACAUUUUUUUUUAUUACCUUUUAAAAAAGAGAAAUAUUUUAUCUUCCAUUAUAGUGAAAAUAAAAACUCAAAUAUUUUGAUAAUAAGAAAUCAUGUUCUCCCCUUAGAUCGAUCCUGUAUUUAAAAUCUGAUCUGUUAUAAUAGUAUAAGCGAGAUUUAAGAUCUUCAUCUACUGAACUCACGUAUUCUUCCGUUGUUAACUCUAAAUUAUCUUGUUCAUAAAGCUGCAAAAUAAAGAAUUUUAUUAGUAAGAUCCAAGGAUUAUUCUUUGCAAUAACUUAUUAUAAGCUUACAUAUAUCACUUUCAUUCCAUUUCAUGCGUUAAUACACUGGUUCUUGCGUUUUGUUAUUACCGACCCCAAAUUAGUUAUGCAAUCACGCAUUGCCAUGUUUUGAAAGAAAAAAGAAAAUUUGAACAAGCAAAAAUGAUAUAAAUCUCUUCAGCAUAAGGUGUACUAGAGAGAUCACAAAGAAUAUAUCAAGUCAGCACCUGAAUAUAGAUAUAAAUUAGUCGAUUCUCAAACAAACCAGCGAGCUCGACCAUCACUUUUGAAUCCCAAAAACAAAAACGGAUUUUCUUAACUUGAAACUACCAUAAAGAAUACGACUCAACUUUUUUUAAUAAUUGAAACAUUUUGACAAAAUUAAAAAUAGCCUAGCUCCCCUAUCAGGAUUAGGUCUAAUUGAAGGAGUUAAAAUCAUGAUUGAUUAUGCGUUCAUAUUUAUUUAAUAUCCGACAAUGUCAAAUUGAAUUACGUUCGGUAGAGAAAAUCUAUAGAAAAAAAUCAGCUUGACUUCACCAAUUUGUUUUAACACAUGGACAAAAAGCCAAAUGUAGCUGCAAUUGGACAUAUCUCAGCAAGAAAAUUCAAAUUUCAUUUUAUAAAUGAAAAAUGAAAUUUAGAAAAUGAAAAUGAAAAUGAUAUAUAUAUAUAUAUAUAUAUAUAUAUAUAUAUAUAUAUAUAUAUAUCUUUGUGUGUAUCAUAUCAUCUUACAGUUUGUAAAAAAGUAAAGACCGGUGCUAGUCACACCCCAAAAAAAACAAGUUACACCUCAGAAUGACUAAUAUACCCUUUAACUAAAAUAAAAAUUUCAAAUCAACUAAAUUUACAUUAACGUAAAUUGAACAUAAGUAAACUUAAUUUACAUUAACCUAGAUUGAACGUAAGUAAACUGAAUUUACAAACUUAAUUUACAUUAACCUAGAUUGAACGUAAGUAAACUGAAUUUACAUUUGAACAUAAGUAAACUUAAUUUACAUUAACCUAGAUUGAACGUAAGUAAACUUAAUUUACAUUAAUUUAGAUUGAACGUAAGUAAACUGAAUUUACACUAACCUCUUAUAUACAUACGUAAACUAAAUUUACAUUAACCUAAAUUGAACAUAAGUAAACUUAAUUUACAUUAACCUAGAUUGAAUGUAAGUAAACUGAAUUUACACUAACCUAAAUUGAACAUACGUAAACUUGAAUUUACAUUAACCUACAUACGUAAACUACACUAACCCCUUUUAUACACAUACACGUAAACUUAAUUUACACUAACCUCUCACUUAAAAUCAAAUUGACAGGCAUAUCUCAUACCAAUACAAACAAUAAACAAAUAGAAACUCAUCGAAAAUGAAAUUUAUGAAAUUCAUUAACCUUUAUGAAUAUAGUACAAAUUAAUAACAAAAAAAUGUUGAUUCAGAUAUUGGUUGCACAUCUAUGGUGAUUUGUGGAUGAAAGGGGGUAAGGGUUCAGAAUGAUCAUAAAAGAUGAAUUUUUAAAAAUUUACACAAAGAGGGCAAUUUUGAUAUUAUUGUAAAAUUUUAAAUAAAUUUGAGUGUAACUUAUUUUUUUUUGGGUGUGACUAGCACCAGUCAAAAGUAAAUCAUAGUAUAUCUUACAUUAAGUGUAAUCUAUUUUAUUAACUCAUUCUAUCUCAAGUUAAAAAAAUAAUUAGGCACUUUAAUUCAAUAUAAAAAUUUUAAUUUAAAAUUGAAAUGAAAAUGUAAUGUUGGAUUUAUAUUCAAUCAAUAUAUUUUAAAAUUUUAGAAAUGAAUUUUAAUUUACCUCAAAAAAAAAUUGAAUUUUAAUUGAAGUUGGUUUAUUAAAAUUCAAGAACAAAAAAAUGUAAAAAAAAUAUUUCAAUGUCAUUUUUCUUCCUACUUUUGUUUGUUCUACCUAACAAUUCAUGUUAUCUAUCUUAUUAUAUUGGCCGAGUUCGAUCUCUAAUAAAUAUAUUGAUCAAAGUUUAACUACUUCUCAAACGGAAGUAGAAUCUCUAAUUUUAUAGUGCAAAUAUAAAAUUGAAUAAAAAAUGUAAGAAAAUUACAAUUUAUGUAAAUAAAAUUUAGUAUUUUGAAAAUAAUUUUAUUUUCGUAUCACAUUAAAUGUGUUAUCUUAGAUCCAUCAGUUUUAUAAUUUUUUUUCAAUUAUGUAAUGAUUUAAUUAUUGAAUUCUUUUUUUAUUGAACCUCGGACACCUUACUUAUUCACUUUAAAAAUGUAAAUUAUAUUCACUUGACUAUCCGACCAAAAAGAAUUAUGUAAUAAUAAGAUUAUUCUAUUUUAACUACUUGUGGCAUAUGACUAAGGUGAUUUGGCACACUGUGUUGACUUUUCUUAAUUAUUUUUAUUCGAUAUGACUUUAUUAAUUAAUUAACACUUUCUAAAAAAAAACUAGAGAAAUGAAACUAAAAGUGUUCCACUAAAAAUGAUUUUGAAGGGAAAGCGAGGCAGUGAAUAAAAUUAGUGUCCGCUUUGUCUAACCCACUAAAAAACGAGGUAGUGAUGGAUGCGGGGCAGGUUGACACGUUGGGUUGAUAUAUUAAAAAGAAACUCUUUUUUCAUUUCUUUUUACUUAAAAGUCACAGUCAAUUUAAUUUUUCAUUUUUUUCCUCCAUGUAGUAGGGAAAAAAAUUCAAUCUAUUUUAUCACUUUUGUUUCAUGAUUUGCGCCUCAUAUUUUUAACUCUUAGUCGGUUGAUAACUCAUGUAGUUUUUUCCUUUAAAAAAAAAAGCUCAUGUAGUUUUUAUUUUGAAUGUCUUAUCGAUUCAUUAUAGAUUUUUAGAUGAUGUCAUUUUUGUGUUUGAAAGAUUAUUCUCAUAACUUUAGUGGAGUCAUUUGUGAUAAAUUUAGAUUUUCUUAAAUUAGCUUUAAAUUUAUAUAUUUUUACAUUGUUUAUGUGAAGUUUUUAAUAAAUAAUUUUUUUUUUAAAAUAAUGAUGUGCCAACCUGUCGAUCUGCCAUAAAAUGAGGCGGGUGAGAUUUUCAACCUUAAUUGGUUCAUCCUACUUCAUCUCUUUUUAAACGGGUUAUUGACGGAAUCGGUUGACAUUUUUUGCCAUCCUUAAAAACUAAAGCCCACACUAUUAAAAAUGUUUUUUUUAAGGAUCUAUUAGAAAUGUAUGUACAUGUAAUACGUAAUAUGAGUGAGACAUUUUCUUCAAGGGGAUGUGAAGGAGACGUCAUUACUUAUCAGCAAAUGUUUAUAGCGUGUGUGAAUGUUAAGUGCUUCCAUAAAUGGGACCAUGCAACCAACUACUUAGCCAGGACCGCAAGAGAAAGUGUUAUUAAUUUGGUUAAAUGACACUGCAAAUCUUGCCAUAUAUUUGGUUUUAAUUUUGAAAGAUUUGGAGGUUUAAGUAUAUGUUUGGUUUUAAUUUUGAAAGUGUCAAAUGAUUACAGAGGAAUAAAAUAAAUUUUAACAUGUUCAGAUGUUUUAAAGUAGAAUUGAUUUUGGUUGUAGAAGCUAGAAUUUGUAGUUUUUGAAUUUUACUGUAAUUGAUUUUAACUUUGAAUUUUAUUAUUAACUCACUUUUACCUAUAUAUAUCCAUACUUAAAAAAUAAACUUAUGAUAUUCAGUUCCCUUUUAAUCGGUAUCAAUUUCACAAAAUCAAUCAUCCCCACUGUAUAACCAAAAUUAUUUUAUGUCUUUAACGGGAACAUCAUACCUCACCCAAAAUGAUUUUUUUUUUAAUAAGGCAAAAUGAAAUAAUAUAAUCACCAAGAACAGUUCAUCUCGCACAAGGCGUGCAAAGAUAAACGCUCCUCAAAAGAAUACAAGGUUCAGGUAUUUGUUGCCUAACAACAAACACAAAAAAAGAAGGAAAAGAAAACAUUACUCCAUAACACCCAUACAAAUUAAAGGGUGCCGCCACCAGUCAUUAUAACUGAAAGCGGAAGUUAGCCUAUUAGCCUUUAAUCAAGAAAAAGACACAAACUUUACAUUGUCAAAAAUUUAUUCCAAGUCUUGUGCUUUGUCUCUGAAGAUCUGUUGUUUCUUUCUUUCCAAACGAUCCAAACACAAGCGUGCAUCACCUUAAAAAAAAAGUAUGAGUAAAUCGCGGUAACCCCGCCAUAUAACUAAACUGCCGAAGAUGAUCACUGACAGAGUCUGGAGAGAUGAAAUAAAUAGCUAGCCACCUAUAAAUCUUGUUCCAAACACUGCCAAAUAUGUCACAUCGGAUUAGUAGGUGACAUAUCGACUCCAUGGAACCACAUCCACGGGUGGUUUAAUGAGCAAUAGCUAAGGUUUCUUAGAAUCAGCGGGAAUGAAACUUCAAAAAAUGAAAAUAAACAAAUUGAAAGAAAAGAAUUUGCAUUGCAUAUAUGAAAGUUAGUUCAACAAAUCACACAUACAUUGUUUUGUUAAUCUUUUCUCACCUUAACUUGGAUAUUUCGAGCAUAAAGAAUUUUGUAUUUGAUUUUUGACCCUUGUUCCCUAUGAAAAACUUCUAUAUAUACACAAUAAGAAAUAACUGAAACUAACGGUUCUAAAACUAUAAGUCUUCCACAAAUCCAACAUGCUUCCACGUGCCUUCAACCUUUGACCUUGUCUCUUUACAGACAAUUUGAAUUUAUUCUGUCGAAGCUGAAUGAUUUUGAAUAUGCCAAGACUAUCACAACCUAUCGAAGUAAUUUAUUUUUGGAUUAACACCAAGAGCGAAAAUUUAACUUCGGCCAAACAGUUUUCAGGUCGAAAACACAUAUUGAAAAUGCAGGCUAAGAGAUUGUCACUUUGCCUAUAAAUUAGUAGAACACGCUGCUCUAAGAUAUCUACUUACUUUUCAUUUCAUACCAAGCUUGGUUAUUUUUUGGAUACUAUACUCAAGAUAUUCUUGAAGUUUGUGGUGUUUCUUACUCUUAUUGUAGGUGCUCUAGAUGGUAAUGUACAAGGUAACACAUCUUGUUGCGAAAGAGGAGAAUUUUGUGACCCACCUCCCUGUGUUAGAUGCCCAUGUUGUGAUCCUCCAUUAAGGGAAAUGAAGCCCUAAAACUCGGCUUCACUUCUUUUAUUUUUACACCAAUUAUUUUGUAUUUAAGAAAAAUUCUUCUUAUAUCUAAUAAUCCCAUUAUUAAGAUUGGUAAAUAAAUUUUAUGCACAAUGACACAGUUUUUUUUUUAAGGGAUCACACGAAAAUAUAUUUAGCUUCAAAUAUGCUUACUUCUAAAGUAUAUUUUAUAAUAAGACUUGUUAUUUAUGAUGAUCAUUGUACUUCUAUAUUUUUCGCCUACCACAUCAGCGAAUUGUGAUUUUUUCCAUUGGUUAUUUAUUUAAGAUUUCAACCUUGUAAUUAUUUGGUGAUUUGACACUUUGACACAUUGCGUUGACUUUUUUAAAUUAUUUUUAUUCCACAUGACUUUAUUUAUUAAUUAACACUUUAAAAAAUAAAACAGAAAAUGAAAUUAAAAGUGUUCCAAACCGGGUCAAGGCCCAAAUCUUUUGGACCUAAAGUCCACUAUUCAGCUAAGGCCCAAUAAGACGUCCACUUAUAGUUGAAGAAUACUUGCACCGGUGAAGAGCUGCAUCGCACCAAAUGCUACACUCAGAGCACCUAUGAAAUAUCCACUUGAUACAACGGUAGCCCGAGCGAAGCGCUGCAAGGGCAAAACUAUCAUAUCCACGCAUAAGGGUCUAUAAAUAGGGUAUGCGUCACCGAAAAGCAAGGUACGCAUUCUAAGAAAUAUCGUAAAAUCUCAUUGAAACCUCGCUGACUUGAGCGUUGAAGUGUCUUUUAUUGAUACACCUUCUGCAUUAGGGAAGGAUUUACUUCAACCAUUGUGAACCACCGCGGCAGUUGAUUCGCACCACCACCGGGCACCAGCCAACUCUUCUAUUCCUUGAUAAGAACAGUGGCUAUGUCUGUGGGGAGGAAUUUCUAAGAACCUCGUUCCCCGAAACCUCUUUACCUUUUGACUACUACAACAAUGGGGAGGAAUCGACACCAAGAAUAAAGCAACCACUCGUUCACAAACCCUAACCAACAUUGCGGUACGAGAAUCUCCUCCACUGUGCAACAUGUCGCCCACAAUUAUUUCCACUCCACCGAUGAUCGUCAUCGUGAGGGCUCCAACACCUUCCAAACUUGUGAAAGAGUGCAUGCCUCCUCAUAUACAUUUAACGAUCGUUCCAAAUGAAGAUGUUAAGGGCUUUGUAUGAGUUCAUGACAACGACCAUUUGGAAGACCUAUACAAGCUAAUUUGACAACAAUCACAGAUGCUCGAGGAUCAAAAUCAAAGAUUGGCUUGACUGGAAAACAUGCAACUCCAACCAGUCAUCGUCACACCUCGAGUCCCUCUAUGAUGCAUCAUCAUGAGCACACUCCACAUUAAGCGGCAUAUCAAUUUGUCCAUGGAAAAAGUGUCUCAUGAGACUAGAGGCUAUGAACACGGUUACCAAAUAACAAAAGAGAAGAGAAUCAAACAUGACCUAAUCACUCUUUUAUCAUUGUCACCUCGUUACUUCUAAACCAAAUAUUGCCAAGUGAAAUCCUCCAAUUUACACAUCCUAAUUAUAAUUGUAGUUGUUAAGUGGAAAUUUCACAAUCAUUGUAGAGACGAACUUAUAAAUAUUAUUGCUCGAUGAAAGUCUAGUACACUUGCUAAAUUUUUUAUUUUUUUUUAACAAUACUUGCUAAAUAUUAUUGAUCUAACAGUAAGUAAUUAUCGACAUAAUUAUAGAUGGAUUUCCCUCUUUUGUGGCUAAAAUUUUAUCACUAUUUCAUUUUUUUUUUCUUCUAGUAGUUGAUAUAAUUAACCUUUCUUUUCUAACGUUAUGCUUUAGAUAAAACUAAGACGAUUUGUACUCUUUGCAUUGGAAAUAAAGAAUUUAUAAAAUAAUUAAUGAUAAAACUAAAUAUAUUUUGAUACAAAUAUACAUUAAUUAAACGACUUUUAAAUUUACCAAGCAUUGGAGCAGGUGGAGUAGGCGAGUGAGACUUUUUUCUACAAAUUAGAUAUUCAUAUUUCAUGCAAGUUAAUAUAUUACAUAAAAAACAACAAAAAUGUAAUGUCAUGAAAAUCACACGAGUACUCAUGCCUCCGGUUGUUGAUGGUGAAGUCAUCAUUAGUUAAAUCUAAAAUUAGUCGUAGUUGAUCUCUCGAUAUGAACGAACAAACAUGACAAGAAGAGAUACAAAACAACAAUACCGAACUUAAACGACGAAACCACAAGAUAAAAGGAAAAAAGUGAUGUAAAUGAGUGAUUCCGAAUAAAAAAAAUAUCCAAAACCACCCUCAAAGAAAAAGAAAUUAGAAAAAAAUAUAAAGUUUCUUUCAUUAAAAAAACUAGAGGCGGCUCUAUUAGAAAUGUACGUACAGGUAAUAUGAAUGAGACAUUACUUUUUUUUAAGGGAAUGUGAAUGAGACGUUAUUAGCAUAUGUUUAUAGUGUGUCAAUGUUUAGUGCUUCCAUAAAUGGGAUGACCGUGCAACCAGGACCACAUAUAUGUUUCCAUCAAGAGAAGGUGUUACUUGGUUAAAUGACACUGCAAAUCUUAGCCAUAGAUUUGGAGGUUCAAAGUUCAUUAAGUGUAUGUUUGGUUUCAAUUUUCAAAGUGUUAAAAUUAAUUUAUGAGAAGUAGAAUUGAUUUUACUAGUAGAAAGCUAGAAUUUCUAGCUUUUAGCUUCUACUGCAAUUGAUUUUAAUCUUAAAUUUCUUGUUAACUCACUUUUAUCUAAAUAUAUCAAAUCAAAACAUAAAAAAUUUAUAUUCAAUUCAUUUUCAGUUAGAAUCAAUUUUACAAAAUCAAUCAACUGAACAAUGUGUCAGAUGUACAUCUUUGUCUUCUGUGUCUUUAACGGGAGCAAACUUAUAUUAGUUCGCCUCUAAGGAUGACCCUGGUUGGAUUCAUUGCUUGAACAACCUCCAUGGUUGUUUAUCAACAUUGUUUUUAGAGCAGAAGAACUUAGCAAAGCUCUGAAUAGCUUUAAUAAUCUUUGAUAAUUUUUCAUUUUAUUCUUAUUUCAAACCAAUCUGUAUUUUAGAAAUUCAACAUAUGAUAAGGAAGUAUCGCUUAUUAUGUGACUGAGACAUUAUUUACUAAGAGCAACUUACCUCUAGUUUAUAAUUGUAAAACAUCACUUACAGCACAUAACAUGAUCUAUUUUCUUUGGAUUGCUCAUAAAGCAUGUAGGAUCAAGUAUGAGAUUAUUUGACAGAAGGAUCAAGUAAUUUUGGUAAAUCAAAGUAUUUUUCAACAUAUUUUAAUAUUUAUCAAUGCAUCACACUAUUUUGGCACACAAAAUGAUCAAGAUUAAGAUAGAUAAGUAAAACCGGCAUAGGAAUAUCCCUUAAAACUCUCUUGUCUAAGAAUCUCUAUGAAAAUUAUUUUGGAAAUACCGACAUCCAAAGUAUUUGGACAAAGUGCCAACCACCAAAAGACAAGAAUUGAAGAGAUAGAAAAAAGUAGUGUAUAGUGAUGGCCAACCAGAGACUAUUAUUAACAACUCUACAUCAAAAUACUCCACACACAGACACACUAAAAUAACAAAUUUUUGAGGCAAUAACUUUCGACAAGAGAAAUGACACAAUACAGAAUAAAUUAAAACAAAAUAAAAUAAAAAGAAUCAAACUAAUGCCAAAGGUUUAGCCACUUGUUUUCUCCAUCUUCUGAUUCAACACUUCUGUACAAUCUCAUAAAAGACAAUGCCUCCCACAUGGACUAAGGUGUUGAAUACCACUAGAUGCAACCUUUUCUAUUUUUUUGUUCUUACCACAUGCUCUUGUUGAGCUCAAAAAGAUGCUGAUCAUCAUUUUUUUAUUCACCCCAUGGCCACCACCAACAGUCCUUUUGAAAACCAACUAUACGAUCUUUUUGGUCGUUUUUUUGUCCUUAUGAGAGGCAUUGGUCCCUUCUACAAGUUUAUUGUUGUGUUGUGUGAGGCCAGCUCACGAGACGAUUUUGGACAUAUCCCUGCUAGAUCUGUUAUAUUUCAUGUGACUCUUAACUAGUUGUCCAGCUGCAAUUGCAGACAUGAGUGAUAGCUCGCCGGCAAGUACCGAACCAGCUACGAUGGUGGCCAAUAGCCUAGCAUUUGCACCUGGAGAUUCUGUGUUGGCGCCCUUAACACCAAGUAAAUUAAGACAAGCUGACUGAGAUGCAAGUUGUGUUCCCCCUCCCACAGUACCAACCUAAAUUAUUAAACAAAAUCUAGCUAAGGAUAUAAUAAAAUGGAAGAGAAUUUAAAAAUAAAAGACCCUUAUAAAUACGCAUUAACAAUUUUUUUUAAAAAGAAAAUCAUGCUCGGUGGUUGGUUGUAGUAGUAAACUAAAAAUCAAGUUUCCUACUACAUGUAUGUUUGGCUAAAAAUGGAAAAAGUUUAACAUUUGCACCAAAGUGUAAAUUUCAGAUUAUGUUUAUUUAAUUCCAAAGGGACCACUAAUUUAUGUACCUCAAUGGAAGGCAUGGUGACAGAAAUGUGAAGGUCCUUGCCAUCAUUCACAGCUUCCAUCAUGGUAAUACAAUGAGAACUCUCCACAUUCUGAGCAGGAUCUUGACCAGUGGCUAUGUAGACAGCAGAGACAAUGUUGCUAGCAUGAGCAUUGAACCCACCAAGAGCACCAGCAAGGGCUGAUCCAGUUAGGUUCUUAAGCAUGUUAAGCUCAACCAGUGCCUCCACACUAGUCUUCAACACUUUCUUCACAACCUCUUCCUUAAUAACAGCCUCACACACCACAGACUUACCACGCCCUUCAAUCCAGUUUACAGCCGCCGCUUUCUUGUCGGAACAGAAAUUUCCUGCCAUAACCAAACCAACAGUGUGCAUGAAAACAUUAGCAACUAUUUUCAAUUCAACCAUAACAAGGAACAGUUUUAGGAUUAAUGGUAUGAAGAAAAAAUUAUACAAACAAGCUCAUGAUUUACCUGAGAUUCCAAUGACAUCCAUGUCAGGAAAGUCACUCUGAAGAAAAUCAAGGACAUUUUGAACACCUUUUGACACCAUGUUCAUCCCCAUGGCAUCACCAGUACUACAACGGAAACGAAUGUACAAAUUCUUGCCAGCAAUUGUCGGCUGAAGGCUCUGCAAUCUAGCAAAUCUGCUUGAUCUGCACAAACCCAUUAAAUUGUUAAUGAAUGAAUCAACAAUAACACAUACCCAUUUUAAUUGAACAACCCCAGUAAUUCUUAAAAACAGAAAGUGAUCAUAGUUCAAGAAAUUGAAUUCUAUAUGACCUCAUCCCUCCAUAAAUUGGAUCCUAUUGACCUCUCCAUCCGCAACAACUCCAACGGCUAAAACCAUUCUGUAAACCUUUAGGUUAAUCUAAGAACUAAGAUUUUACGUGACAAAACAACUGUUUGUCGAAGAGGAUUAACAACUAAUUAUAGAUCCUCUCCACAUUGGCCCUUGUUAUCCCCUCUCUAAGUUUGGACUGGCAGUAAGACUAACAAUAUCACGCUGAGUCGUCAUGAUUUUAACAAAAGUUAGACUUUGGAGCUUCACAAAAUCAUGGAGUCUUCGUGACUUAGCCAAACUCACGAUCAAUCCAAACAUAUUUUCUCUUUUCUUCACAUGCUAUGAUCCCUUGCAACAUUACUGGACGUUGGAUCAAAGACAUAAAUUUUAAAAUUUGAACCAACGGCCCUGCAACCCUUGCAAGGGAUCCAAUCAAUCAACAAAUCCCUCAACCUAAAAUCCAAAAGUCCCUAAAUCACUGCAUAUCAAUUGCAUCAAAAUUAACAUUCAUUUUUCACCAAAUAACAACUCAUAACCCAAAGAAAAUACUACUAAAAACAAAGUAAAAUGAACAAAAAAAAAGAAAAAAAUCCAUACUUGUUGAAAGUGACAGCAAGUGUAUCAAAAUUAAGCGGAUCUUCCAAGAAAAACUUCAACUCAGCAGCUCUUUUGGCCGACGAAAACCUAACAACAGGUGCUCUGGUCAUUCCAUCUCUAAGCAAAACAGAAGAAGCUCCACCAGAAACAUGAAUAGCUUUACACCCUCUAUUAGUACUUGCAACAAGACACCCUUCAGUGGUAGCCAUGGGCACAGUGUACUCAACUCCAUCUAACAACAGUGGACCCGCAACACCAACCGGAAUUUGAACAAACCCUAUCGGCAUCUCACAACACUGUCCCAAUAUCGAAUCGUAAUCAAAACCUUCCAACGGUAAACCUUCUAGAGAUUUUCCAGUUAUCGUUUGCACCGCUGAACGACGUAUCGCCGCCGCUUUACGACAGUCUGCUAGUCUGGAUUCUAAGGAAUACGACGGAAUUGAACCGGUGACAACUGAUUUUGCAAUUUCUUCGUCUUCCGGUGUGAGAUUCACGGGUGCAACAACUUCAUAGAUCUUCACUGGAGCUACAAUUGGAGUUAAUGUUGCUGGUGGUGGUUUUACGUCGGUGUCGACAAGUGCUGCUGGACACGGUCCUGGUUUUCGUGAGUCUUCUUUAGCGAGAAUCUCUUCAUCGGAGAGAUCGUCCGGGAAGGAAGUACGUGAUCCGAUACCGAAGAAACCUAGAAGGUAAACGGCGGAGGCUAUGAGAGAAACGAUGGCGGCGGUUUCUGAGACUGUGACGACAUGAAGAGGAGUUUCCGUACGGAUCUUCUCACGCCAACGGUGGAGGAGGAAAUACGCGACGGAGAAGAAAACACCGAAGAAAACAGCGUUAGUGACACAGAGAAAAACAGUCUGUGAAUUGAGGUUUUCUCCGGUGGUGGUGGUAGGAAGAGAUUUAAGCUUCUGGGUUUUGAGGUUUUCGCCGCCGGCGGGAGAACGUGGAGGAAGAGAUUUAAGUCUCCGGCGAGCGUCCAUAUUUUUUCCGACGAGUUUUGAAUCUACGAAAAUGCAGAAACAAAAAACGAAGGAGAAAAAUGGAAAGAAAACCCAGAAGCGAAAAACGAGGGAAAGGGUUUUGAAAGUUUUUGUUUGAUU
RNAcentral lists this long non-coding RNA (17117 nucleotides) under Medicago truncatula (barrel medic). RNAcentral describes it as "long non-coding RNA (MTRU_LNC006424)". Lineage: Eukaryota; Viridiplantae; Streptophyta; Magnoliopsida; Fabales; Fabaceae. The record is from RNAcentral.